Molecule: ribosomal RNA, 1240 nt
Filed under: hot springs metagenome
Description: bacterial SSU rRNA
Rfam family: Archaeal small subunit ribosomal RNA (bases 569-1240)
Source: RNAcentral
ACUGUGGUGAUUAGGAGCGGGUACGACUACGAGGUCAGGCUUGCGCAGAAGAGCCGCGAGUGGCUUGAGGUGCUAAACGGUCUCUUUGCGAGGAUCUUCGGGAGAAGCGGCUCCAUAUACCGCGAGAAGAGGAGAGGCGCGUCCGGCGCCGUGAGGACAUAUUACGUCCUGAGGAUAUUCGACAAGAGAGUGGUCGGCGAGCUGAUAAGGCUCUUCAACAUAGCUACGCCGCAGACCAGGUGGGGAACCCCCGACGUAAUAAGGCGCGCAGGCGCAGACAUUGUGAAACACUACGUGAGGGGGUUCUUCGACGCCGAGGGCGGCUUGCCCAAAGAUCCCGCCCGCGCCAAACAGCGCUACAUCUCCUUCGACCAGGCAAACCUCGACGCCCUGGCCUUCAUCAGAAGCCAACUGGCUCAGAUGGGCUACCGCCCUACGAGGAUCACCAAGACGGGGGACGUGUGGCAGUUCAGGCUGACGCGGAGGGCCGACAUUAUGAGAUUUAGAAACGAAAUCGGGUCGUGGCACCCAGAGAAGAAACGGAGGCUCGACCUCCUGUACGCCUCCCUGGGACGAUAAGACCUCCUUUUUCCCCUCCAACCAUCCUCUUUAUCCAACCGCCCAGCUCCCGCCUCCCCCUGAAUUGGCGGGGGGGCACCACAAGGGGUGAAGCUUGCGGCUUAAUUGGAGUCAACGCCGGAAACCUUACCGGGGCUGACGGCAGGAUGAAGGUCGGGCUGACGACCCUACCUGACGAGCCGAGAGGAGGUGCAUGGCCGUCGCCGGUGCGUGCCGUGAGGUGUCCUGUUAAGUCAGGCAACGGACGAGACCCGCGCCCCCAGUUGCCAGCGGCCGAGAGGCGCCGGGCACUCUGGGGGGACUGCCCCCGAAAGGGGGAGGAAGGAGCGGGCUACGGCAGGUCGGUAUGCCCCGAAUGCCCCGGGCCGCACGCGACGUUCAAUGGCGGGGACAGCGGGAUGCGACCCCGAAAGGGGGAGCCAAUCCCUAAACCCCGCCUCAGUAGGGAUCGAGGGUUGCAACUCGCCCUCGUGAACGCGGAAUCCCUAGUAACCGCGCGUUAACACCGCGCGGUGAAUACGUCCCCGCUCCUUGCACACACUGCCCAUCGCUCCACCCGAGCUGGGUUCGGGUGAGGCCCGCUCAAGUUGGGCGGGUCGAGCCCGAACCCGGUGAGGGGGGAGAAGUUGUAACAAGGUAGCCGCACCGGAAGGUGUGGCUG